RNAcentral lists this ribosomal RNA (274 nucleotides) under uncultured bacterium. RNAcentral describes it as "partial 16S ribosomal RNA". It matches the Rfam family "Bacterial small subunit ribosomal RNA", at positions 240 to 507 of the family's 1533-position model. The record is from RNAcentral.
AUUAGGUAGUUGGUGAGGUAAAGGCUCACCAAGCCGACGAUCUGUAGCUGGUCUGAGAGGACGACCAGCCACACUGGGACUGAGACAGGCCCAGACUCCUACGGGAGGCAGCAGUGGGGAAUUUUGGACAAUGGGCGCAAGCCUGAUCCAGCAAUGCCGCGUGCAGGAUGAAGGCCUUCGGGUUGUAAACUGCUUUUGUACGGAACGAAACGGUGAGCUCUAAUACAGUUUGCUAAUGACGGUACCGUAAGAAUAAGCACCGGCUAACUACGUG